UACGGAGGAUGCGAGCGUUAUCCGGAUUUAUUGGGUUUAAAGGGUGCGUAGGCGGACUGUUAAGUCAGCGGUAAAAGCCCGGGGCUCAACCCCGUACUGCCGUUGAAACUGCAUCCCUUGAGUGCGCGAGAAGUAUGCGGAAUGCGUGGUGUAGCGGUGAAAUGCAUAGAUAUCACGAAGAACUCCGAUUGCGAAGGCAGCUCACUGGACUGCAACUGACACUGAGGCUCGAAAGUGCGGGUAUCAAACAGG
RNAcentral lists this ribosomal RNA (252 nucleotides) under uncultured Bacteroidales bacterium. Its description in RNAcentral is "partial 16S ribosomal RNA". It matches the Rfam family "Bacterial small subunit ribosomal RNA", at positions 524 to 776 of the family's 1533-position model. Lineage: Bacteria; Pseudomonadati; Bacteroidota; Bacteroidia; Bacteroidales. The record is from RNAcentral.